AUACCUUUCUCGGCCUUUUGGCUAAGAUCAAGUGUAGUAUCUGUUCUUAUCAGUUUAAUAUCUGAUAUGUGGGCCAUGUGCCUACUUUGAUAUUAAAUUAUUUUUUGUGGGGAGGGUCCAUUACAGUGGCUUGCCACUGGGGCCCUCAAGCGUCGCCUGGCCGUUGCACUGCUGGCUGGGCCUGGCGCACCCCAA
This 195-nucleotide small nuclear RNA is filed under the name Sorghum bicolor (sorghum). RNAcentral describes it as "snRNA U2". It matches the Rfam family "U2 spliceosomal RNA". From Rfam's summary of the family: U2 is a small nuclear RNA (snRNA) component of the spliceosome (involved in pre-mRNA splicing). The record is from Rfam by way of RNAcentral. Lineage: Eukaryota; Viridiplantae; Streptophyta; Magnoliopsida; Poales; Poaceae.